AUUGAACGCUGGCGGCAGGCCUAACACAUGCAAGUCGAGCGGAUGAAGGGAGCUUGCUCCUGGAUUCAGCGGCGGACGGGUGAGUAAUGCCUAGGAAUCUGCCUGGUAGUGGGGGAUAACGUCCGGAAACGGGCGCUAAUACCGCAUACGUCCUGAGGGAGAAAGUGGGGGAUCUUCGGACCUCACGCUAUCAGAUGAGCCUAGGUCGGAUUAGCUAGUUGGUGGGGUAAAGGCCUACCAAGGCGACGAUCCGUAACUGGGCUGAGAGGAUGAUCAGUCACACUGGAACUGAGACACGGUCCAGACUCCUACGGGAGGCAGCAGUGGGGAAUAUUGGACGAUGGGCGAAAGCCUGAUCCAGCCAUGCCGCGUGUGUGAAGAAGGUCUUCGGAUUGUAAAGCACUUUAAGUUGGGAGGAAGGGCAGUAAGUUAAUACCUUGCUGUCUUGACGUUACCAACAGAAUAAGCACCGGCUAACUUCGUG
Molecule: ribosomal RNA, 484 nt
Filed under: uncultured bacterium
Lineage: Bacteria
Description: partial 16S ribosomal RNA
Rfam family: Bacterial small subunit ribosomal RNA
Source: RNAcentral